RNAcentral lists this ribosomal RNA (1488 nucleotides) under bacterium. Its description in RNAcentral is "bacterial SSU rRNA". It matches the Rfam family "Bacterial small subunit ribosomal RNA". The record is from RNAcentral.
UCUAUUGAGGAUUUGAUCCUGGUCCAGGAUGAACGCUGGCGACGUGGAUAGGGCAUGCAAGUCGAACGGAUUUAUUUGCGAUUACAUCAAGAAUAAAUUAGUGGCGAACGAGUUCAGUAAUACCUUGGAAUGUACCCCGAAGACGGGAAUAACUCCGCGAAAGCGGAGCUAAUACCCGAUAAUCUCGCAAGAGCAAAGUCGUAAGACACUUCGGGAGCAGCCUUGGUCCUAUCAGCUAGUUGGUGAGGUAAUGGCCCACCAAGGCUAUGACGGGUAGGGGGUGUGAGAGCAUGACCCCCAACGAUGGAACUGAGACACGGUCCAUACACCUACGGGUGGCUGCAGUCGAGAAUAUUCGACAAUGGGCGAAAGCCUGAUCGAGCGACGUCGCGUGCAGGAAGAAGGCCUUAGGGUUGUAAACUGCUUUUGCGGGGGAGGAACGAAAGUGACUGUACCCCGAGAAUAAGGCGCUGCAAACUUCGUGCCAGCAGCCGCGGUAAUACGAAGGCGUCAAGCGUUAUCCGGAUUUAUUGGGCGUAAAGGGUCUUCAGGUGGUUUUGUUAGUCUGAUGUUAAAUCCCAGCGCCUAACGCUGGAACCGCAUCAGAAACGGCAAAACUCGAGGUGCGGAGAGGUAAGCGGAACUCACGGUGUAGCGGUGAAAUGCGUUGAUAUCGUGGGGAACACCAAAGGCGAAGGCAGCUUACUGGCCGUAUCCUGACACUCAUAAGACGAAAGCGUGGGGAGCAAAUGGGAUUAGAUACCCCAGUAGUCCACGCCCUAAACGAUGCAGACUCGUCAUUGGAAGUAUCGACCCUUUCAGUGGCCUAGCUUACGCGUUAAGUCUGCCGCCUGGGAAGUACGGCCGCAAGGCUAAAACUCAAAGGAAUAGACGGGAGUUCGCACAAGCGGUGGAGCAUGUGGUUCAAUUCGAUGACAACCGAAGAACCUCACCAGGGUUUGAAAUGCUGGAAAAAACCGCCGGAAACGGUGGUGUACCACAAGGAUGCCAGCACAGGUGCUGCACGGUCCUCGUCAGUUCGUGGCUUGAGCUGUUCCCUUAAGUGGGGCAACGAACGCAACCCUUAUUGUAUGUUACAAGUGUCAUACGAAACUGCCUCCGAUUAGGGGGAGGAAGGCGGGGAUGACGCGAGAUCAGCGUGGCCCUUUGAUACCCUGGGCCACACACGUGCUACAAUGGAGCCGACAAUGCGUUGCGAAACCGAAAGGUGGAGCCAAUCGCACCAAACGGCCCCCCAGUUCAGAUUGAGGUCUGCAACUCGACCUCAUGAAGUUGGAAUCGCUAGUAAUCGCGGGUCAGCUAUACCGCGGUGAAUACGUUCUCGAACUUUGUACUCACCGCCCGUCACGUCAAGGGAGCCGGGAGUAGUCGAAGCUCACGAUUUCGUGAUCUACGCUAAGCUCGGUGACAGGGACGAAGUCGUAACAAGGCAUCCGUAGCGGAAGCUGUGGAUGGAACAAUUCUUUU